This 465-nucleotide ribosomal RNA is filed under the name uncultured bacterium. RNAcentral describes it as "partial 16S ribosomal RNA". It matches the Rfam family "Bacterial small subunit ribosomal RNA", at positions 28 to 507 of the family's 1533-position model. The record is from RNAcentral.
GACGAACGCUGGCGGCGUGCUUAACACAUGCAAGUCGAACGGAAAGGCCCCUUUGGGGGUACUCGAGUGGCGAACGGGUGAGUAACACGUGAGUAACCUUCCCUUGACUUCGGGAUAACUUCAGGAAACUGGGGCUAAUACCGGAUAGGAAUCCUUGCUGCAUGGUGGGGGUUGGAAAGCUUCGGCGGUUUUGGAUGGACUCGCGGCUUAUCAGCUUGUUGGUGGGGUAGUGGCUUACCAAGGCGUUGACGGGUAGCCGGCCUGAGAGGGCGACCGGCCACAUUGGGACUGAGAGACGGCCCAGACUCCUACGGGAGGAAGCAGUGGGGAAGAUUGAACAAUGGGCGGAAGCCUGAUGCAGCAACGCCGCGUGCGGGAUGACGGCCUUCGGGUUGUAAACCGCUUUCAGCGGGGGCGAAGCUUGUGGUGACGGUACCUGCAGAAGAAGCACCGGCUAACUACGUG